UGAGGGAAUAUUUGGGGUCAAUGGGCGAGAGCCUGAACCAGCCAAGUCGCGUGAGGGAUGACGGCCCUACGGGUUGUAAACCUCUUUUAUAAGGGAAUAAAGGACAUCACGUGUGGUGUUUUGCAUGUACCUUAUGAAUAAGCAUCGGCUAACUCCGUGCCAGCAGCCGCGGUAAUACGGAGGAUGCGAGCGUUAUCCGGAUUCAUUGGGUUUAAAGGGUGCGUAGGUUGCCGAUUAAGUCAGCGGUGAAAGUCAGUGGCUCAACCAUUGAACUGCCGUUGAAACUGGUUGGCUUGAGUACGUACGGGGCAGGCGGAAUGCGUGGUGUAGCGGUGAAAUGCAUAGAUAUCACGAAGAACUCCGAUUGCGAAGGCAGCUCACGGU
Molecule: ribosomal RNA, 384 nt
Filed under: uncultured Parabacteroides sp.
Lineage: Bacteria; Pseudomonadati; Bacteroidota; Bacteroidia; Bacteroidales; Tannerellaceae
Description: bacterial SSU rRNA
Rfam family: Bacterial small subunit ribosomal RNA
Source: RNAcentral